This is a non-coding RNA of Paramisgurnus dabryanus, 267 nucleotides long. The record is from RefSeq and is a predicted model, not a curated record. NCBI's taxonomy places the organism in Eukaryota, Metazoa, Chordata, Actinopteri, Cypriniformes, Cobitidae.
GUACAAAUGAAAUCUUUCUGCCACAAAAUUAACUGAAUCAGCAGGGCAGAGCCCAUCAUCUCAGACCGAGCGUUGCAGAACUUCAAGAUUAUGCCAGGAGAACGGCAGCCAGGAAAUAUUGUCAUCGCUGUAUUGGCAGUGAUUGUAUACAAUCAAGCUUUAAAACUAACAAGAAAAGCAGCACAGAGCUGUCAUUACCAACACGCUCUUCAUAAAGGGACUUACACAUGGAUUUCAAGCUGCAAGAUGCCUUGAUGUGUAGAAAAG